Molecule: long non-coding RNA, 876 nt
Organism: Megalobrama amblycephala (Wuchang bream)
Lineage: Eukaryota; Metazoa; Chordata; Actinopteri; Cypriniformes; Xenocyprididae
Exons: 3
Source: RefSeq, a predicted model, not a curated record
ACACUUUAUCCUGCUUUGACAUUGUUUGGAGCUGGCAAUAUUGUGUCUAAAUUUUGGAGAACAGUCUGAAUCUAUAAUAUGCGCUGCUCAGAUGAAACUGAAACACACAAAUGCAGAGAAGACAUCAAGGACGACAGACAGCGCAUACAUUAAAGGUUCAAUUGCUCCUGUUCUUCAGAGCUCCCUCUUUCUCCACCCCACUUCAAUGGGUCAGCUCGCCUCUAUGCCCUUGACUGGGAUGUAUUGGAACAUAUUGCCGUGCUAAACGUUAGCGACAGCUCUGGCUGAUUUACUGUUCCGUGGGACCUCCUCUCCACCCUCUGAUGCCCCCUGUGAGUAGCCCUGGUCUCGGGGAGGAGAUGAGUUUGCGUGCUCUGUCUGGUUUACUGAGCUCCAGGACGACUGGGGCUAGCUAGGCAUAGAACCAGGACUCCAUUCUCUCACACACAGACAGGUCCAUUGAUUCUGCUGUCUGCGCUGUCUCUCUUCAUAACGCAGAUUACCCAGAAGCCUGACGCCUGCUCUUGCUGUCUUCCCGGACCCUUUUCUCACUCGUUCUCUCUCUCACCGACUUCCUUCUAGUUGGGCCACGUUCAGUUUUGCAUUCUAGUCCUGACCCAUCCUUUUUCAUCUUUGCUUGUCUAUUUGGUGUCUGGUUCUUUUUCAAUGUCCCACAAACACUUGUCAGUUCCAACCCGCUGUCUCUAUGUCUCUGUCUUUCUAUCUGCCUCUUCCAGUCAUCAUCUAUCAUUCCAGAUUCUCAAUCCCAGUCCUGUGCCUUCCAGAAUCUCAUUCUGAAAUCAGUAAGAGAGAGCUUUGAUCUACUCAUUCAACAGCUCAUUUCUUUGUGGACGGUGUGUUAUUUUAGUAUUAUUU